AGACAGACAGACAGACAGUUAAAGAAACAGACAGACAGUUAAAGAGACAGACAGUUAAAGAGACAGACAGGCAGACAGUUAAAGAGACAGACAGACAGACACUUAAAUAGACAGACAGAGAGACAGACAGUUAAAGAUACAGACAGAGAGAGAUAAAUAAACUGACAUGUUUAUUAUGUAAAUGAUGGCUUUGUGUCCAUUGUUAAUGAAAUAAAAUGGAAUGGAAUUGAAGACAGACAGAUUGUGAUGUAAUAUAUUGGAACUUGUCUCAGUGU
Ictalurus punctatus (channel catfish) is the source of this 275-nucleotide long non-coding RNA. NCBI's taxonomy places the organism in Eukaryota, Metazoa, Chordata, Actinopteri, Siluriformes, Ictaluridae. The record is from Ensembl.